UUAGGAGUUUUGGAUGAAGAUCUUUCUGGACCACGAUGAUACUAAUGAUGAUGACAGCGACUACUUCUUGCCCCGUUGCUGUGUGCACGGCGCACGUUACCGUCAUUGUUUCGGAGGCAGCUCACAACAGCCGGGUGAGAUCUACCCCAGGGCCUUUGGAGAGAAGACUGACCUCCAGAUAUUUUGGAAGGGCCUAUCUCCUAUCAGGAGCUGAUUCUGGUCUGAGCUGAGAGCGUAUUCACGGGCCAAAGUCUGCUCCAAAGUAAACACGUCAUCACAUUCCUCACAGCCUGCAACCUCCAUGGGGAGAAGCUCGGGCCAUCAUGGUGCAAGGGUGCCUCAGUUUCCCUGUCGGUAACAUGAGGAUGAUCAUAAUAGCGACGAGCUCACAGAGUUCUUGCAGAGAUUAAAGACGGGUGUGGACCUCGGUGUAAAAUUACAACCAGAGAAGGCCCCCGCCCUGGGGCAAAGAUGUAACUGCGAGGACUUCAGUUCAUUUUGCAAGUCCUGGUUCUCCAUCUCUGUUCCCUUUGGAAACUUUCAGUCUUUGCUCUUUGAUGUCCACUCCUAUCAUAAUCAUGACAUUAUCAGACAUUGUCAUAUCACGAUCACGGCGGUAGCUCUCUCACAGAUACUGACAUGCUAAGUGCUUUGCACAUGGCUUCUCAUUUGUCAGAAACCCCCUCUGAGGUAUAUGGUUAACGUAGGUUACAGGCAACCCCAGGGCCCUGCUCUUAAUCUUGACUAUUGCCCUUAGCCAUUCCUGAGUAUCCAGUCUGUCACUCUGUGACCUUAGGCAUUAUGAUUAUUUCUCUUAGCCCCAAUUUCCUUACCUGUAAAAUGGAAAAAAUAACA
This is a long non-coding RNA of Hyaena hyaena (striped hyena), 855 nucleotides long. RefSeq lists it as uncharacterized. The record is from RefSeq and is a predicted model, not a curated record. The transcript has 4 exons. NCBI's taxonomy places the organism in Eukaryota, Metazoa, Chordata, Mammalia, Carnivora, Hyaenidae.